GCAGUGGCGGGUCAGUGGUAGACUUCUCAUCUUCCAUGCAGGAGUCUCAGGUUCAAUUCCUGACCAAUGCA
RNAcentral lists this transfer RNA (71 nucleotides) under Loxodonta africana (African savanna elephant). It matches the Rfam family "tRNA". From Rfam's summary of the family: Transfer RNA (tRNA) molecules are approximately 80 nucleotides in length. The record is from Rfam by way of RNAcentral. Lineage: Eukaryota; Metazoa; Chordata; Mammalia; Proboscidea; Elephantidae.